UUUCCUUCGGGACAAAGGAGACAGGUGGUGCAUGGUUGUCGUCAGCUCGUGUCGUGAGAUGUUGGGUUAAGUCCCGCAACGAGCGCAACCCUUAUGCUUAGUUGCCAGCACAUCAUGGUGGGCACUCUAAGCAGACUGCCGGUGACAAACCGGAGGAAGGUGGGGAUGACGUCAAAUCAUCAUGCCCCUUAUGACUUGGGCUACACACGUACUACAAUGGCCGGUACAACGGGAAGCAAUAUCGCAAGAUGGAGCCAAUCCUUAAAAGCCGGUCUCAGUUCGGAUUGCAGGCUGCAACUCGCCUGCAUGAAGUCGGAAUUGCUAGUAAUCGCGGAUCAGCAUGCCGCGGUGAAUACGUUCCCGGGUCUUGUACACACCGCCCGUCACACCACGAGAGUUUGCAACACCCGAAGUCGGUGGGGUAACCGCAAGGAGCCAGCCGCCGAAGGUGGGGUAGAUGAUUGGGGUGAAGUCGUAACAAGGUAGCCGUAUCGGAAGGUGCGGCUGGAUCACCUCCUUU
Molecule: ribosomal RNA, 520 nt
Filed under: Paenibacillus sp. PsM32
Lineage: Bacteria; Bacillati; Bacillota; Bacilli; Caryophanales; Paenibacillaceae
Description: bacterial SSU rRNA
Rfam family: Bacterial small subunit ribosomal RNA
Source: RNAcentral